Long non-coding RNA from Xenia sp. Carnegie-2017, 268 nucleotides. RefSeq lists it as uncharacterized. The transcript is spliced from 3 exons. Lineage: Eukaryota; Metazoa; Cnidaria; Anthozoa; Malacalcyonacea; Xeniidae. The record is from RefSeq and is a predicted model, not a curated record.
CAUUUAUGUUCAAAGUCUGUUAAAGAUUGCUUCAAAUUGUUGAUGAAAAAAUAUUCUGCAGUCAUGAAGGACGCCAUAGUUUAUAAGAUGGAAAUGAUUAAACCUAGAAACUGAAAUACAUUUUUUCAUUCAGAAAGUAAUAAGCAAAGAAAUUCGCGUUGUGAAAUGGCCGAUAUGCGGCUUGUCUGAUACUGAAAUUGCAUUGUUUUGUACAAAAUUCGCUCUCGGCACUCUCGGUCAAGGUAUUGUAAAAAGCUUCCCUCUGGUG